CCUAGCGUGGGAGAAAAUCGGGAAAUGGAAAAGGGUAUAGCCCUUUUUCCAAAGGUUCAAAUCCUAUCCCUAGCU
RNAcentral lists this transfer RNA (75 nucleotides) under Gallus gallus (chicken). RNAcentral's name for it is "tRNA-Leu". Lineage: Eukaryota; Metazoa; Chordata; Aves; Galliformes; Phasianidae. The record is from RNAcentral.